GUGAGGAAUAUUGCACAAUGGGCGAAAGCCUGAUGCAGCAACGCCGCGUGAGUGAUGAAGGCCUUUGGGUCGUAAAACUCUGUCCUUGGGGAAGAAAAAAAUGACGGUACCCUUGGAGGAAGCCCCGGCUAACUACGUGCCAGCAGCCGCGGUAAUACGUAGGGGGCAAGCGUUAUCCGGAAUUAUUGGGCGUAAAGAGUGCGUAGGUGGUUUUGUAAGCGUAGGGUGAAAGGCAGUAGCUCAACUAUUGUUAGCCCUGCGAACUGUGAGACUUGAGUGCAGGAGAGGAAAGUGGAAUUCCUAGUGUAGCGGUGAAAUGCGUAGAUAUUAGGAGGAACACCAGUGGCGAAGGCGACUUUCUGGACUGUAACUGACACUGAGGCACGAAAGCGUGGGGAGCAAACAGGAUUAGAUACCCGAGUAGUCC
This 427-nucleotide ribosomal RNA is filed under the name uncultured bacterium. Its description in RNAcentral is "partial 16S ribosomal RNA". It matches the Rfam family "Bacterial small subunit ribosomal RNA", at positions 354 to 796 of the family's 1533-position model. The record is from RNAcentral.